UACGUAGGUGGCAAGCGUUGUCCGGAUUUACUGGGCGUAAAGAGCGCGCAGGCGGUCGUUCAAGUCGCGUGUGAAAGCCCCCGGCUCAACUGGGGAGGGUCACGCGAUACUGAUCGACUCGAAGGCAGGAGAGGGAAGUGGAAUUCCCGGUGUAGUGGUGAAAUGCGCAGAUAUCGGGAGGAACACCAAUGGCGAAGGCAGCUCGCUGGGACGUUACUGACGCUGAGACGCGAAAGCGUGGGGAGCAAACAGG
Molecule: ribosomal RNA, 253 nt
Filed under: uncultured bacterium
Lineage: Bacteria
Description: partial 16S ribosomal RNA
Rfam family: Bacterial small subunit ribosomal RNA
Source: RNAcentral